AGAGUUUGAUCCUGGCUCAGGAUGAACGCCGGCGGUGUGCCUAAUACAUGCAAGUCGUACGCGUUGGCCCAACUGAUUUGAAGUGCUUGCACGGAUCUGACGUUGGUUUACCAACGAGUGGCGGACGGGUGAGUAACACGUAGGUAACCUGCCCAGAAGCGGGGGACAACACUUGGAAACAGGUGCUAAUACCGCAUAACAAUUCAAAUCGCAUGAUUUGAAUUUGAAAGAUGGUUUCGGCUAUCACUUCUGGAUGGACCUGCGGCGCAUUAGCUUGUUGGUGGGGUAAUGGCCUACCAAGGCAGUGAUGCGUAGCCGAGUUGAGAGACUGAUCGGCCACAAUGGGACUGAGAUACGGCCCAUACUCCUACGGGAGGCAGCAGUAGGGAAUCUUCCACAAUGGGCGCAAGCCUGAUGGAGCAACACCGCGUGAGUGAAGAAGGUUUUCGGAUCGUAAAGCUCUGUUGUUGAAGAAGAACGUGCAUGAGAGUAACUGUUCAUGCAGUGACGGUAUUCAACCAGAAAGUCACGGCUAACUACGUGCCAGCAGCCGCGGUAAUACGUAGGUGGCAAGCGUUAUCCGGAAUUAUUGGGCGUAAAGAGAGUGCAGGCGGUUUCUUAAGUCUGAUGUGAAAGCCUUCGGCUCAACCGAAGAAGUGCAUCGGAAACUGGGAAACUUGAGUACAGAAGAGGGCAGUGGAACUCCAUGUGUAGCGGUGGAAUGCGUAGAUAUAUGGAAGAACACCAGUGGCGAAGGCGGCUGCCUGGUCUGUAACUGACGCUGAGGCUCGAAAGCAUGGGUAGCGAACAGGAUUAGAUACCCUGGUAGUCCAUGCCGUAAACGAUGAAUGCUAGGUGUUGGAGGGUUUCCGCCCUUCAGUGCCGCAGCUAACGCAUUAAGCAUUCCGCCUGGGGAGUACGACCGCAAGGUUGAAACUCAAAGGAAUUGACGGGGGCCCGCACAAGCGGUGGAGCAUGUGGUUUAAUUCGAAGCAACGCGAAGAACCUUACCAGGUCUUGACAUCCUAUGUCAAUCUGAGAGAUCAGACGUUCCCUUCGGGGACAUAGUGACAGGUGGUGCAUGGUUGUCGUCAGCUCGUGUCGUGAGAUGUUGGGUUAAGUCCCGCAACGAGCGCAACCCUUAUGACUAGUUGCCAGCAUUCAGUUGGGCACUCUAGUAAGACUGCCGGUGACAAACCGGAGGAAGGUGGGGACGACGUCAAAUCAUCAUGCCCCUUAUGACCUGGGCUACACACGUGCUACAAUGGAUGGUACAACGAGUUGCGAACCCGCGAGGGCAAGCUAAUCUCUUAAAGCCAUUCUCAGUCCGGACUGUAGGCUGCAACUCGCCUACACGAAGUCGGAAUCGCUAGUAAUCGCGGAUCAGCAUGCCGCAGUGAAUACGUUCCCGGGCCUUGUACUCACCGCCCGUCA
Molecule: ribosomal RNA, 1434 nt
Filed under: uncultured bacterium
Lineage: Bacteria
Description: bacterial SSU rRNA
Rfam family: Bacterial small subunit ribosomal RNA
Source: RNAcentral